UGAGGAAUAUUGGACAAUGGGCGCAAGCCUGAUCCAGCAAUGCCGCGUGCAGGAUGAAGGCCUUCGGGUUGUAAACUGCUUUUGUACGGAGCGAAAAGGUCUGCCCUAAUACGGUGGGCUCAUGACGGUACCGUAAGAAUAAGCACCGGCUAACUACGUGCCAGCAGCCGCGGUAAUACGUAGGGUGCGAGCGUUAAUCGGAAUUACUGGGCGUAAAGCGUGCGCAGGCGGUGAUGUAAGACAGAUGUGAAAUCCCCGGGCUCAACCUGGGACCUGCAUUUGUGACUGCAUCGCUGGAGUGCGGCAGAGGGGGAUGGAAUUCCGCGUGUAGCAGUGAAAUGCGUAGAUAUGCGGAGGAACACCGAUGGCGAAGGCAAUCCCCUGGGCCUGCACUGACGCUCAUGCACGAAAGCGUGGGGAGCAAACA
Molecule: ribosomal RNA, 427 nt
Filed under: uncultured bacterium
Lineage: Bacteria
Description: bacterial SSU rRNA
Rfam family: Bacterial small subunit ribosomal RNA
Source: RNAcentral